Meloidogyne enterolobii is the source of this 72-nucleotide non-coding RNA. The record is from the annotation of a GenBank genome assembly. NCBI's taxonomy places the organism in Eukaryota, Metazoa, Nematoda, Chromadorea, Rhabditida, Meloidogynidae.
UUUGUAAUGGUGUAAUGGCUAACACAUCAGUCCGGACUACUGAAGAUGCUGGUUCGCUCCCAGCCGCCGAAU